Orcinus orca (killer whale) is the source of this 8751-nucleotide long non-coding RNA. RefSeq lists it as uncharacterized. The record is from RefSeq and is a predicted model, not a curated record. Lineage: Eukaryota; Metazoa; Chordata; Mammalia; Artiodactyla; Delphinidae. The transcript has 3 exons.
UCCCUGGUGGCGCAGUGGUUGCGAGUCCACCUGCCGAUGCAGGGGACACGGGUUCGUGCCCUGGUCCGGGAAGAUCCCACAUGCCGCGGAGCGGCUGUGCGCAUGAGCCGUGGCUGCUGAGCCUGCGCGUCCGGAGCCUGUUGUUCCACAACGGGAGAGGCCACAACAGAGAGAGGCCCGCGUACCGCAAAAAAAAAAAGCAGCACAAAAACAACAACAACAAAAACCCGGUACUUUUCUAAUGUUGUACGUCCCUUAUGUUUUUAGCAGAUAAUUUACUAAUUAAAGUGAGUUAUACUUGUAAAUUGUUCUCAUCUCUACUCAGAAGGAGGUACACCUAGAUACUAAGCCUGCUUCCACCAAGAGCAUUGUUUCCUUCUUGUGCAACCUCUGAAUUCUUGCAAGGAGUACUUUAUUCAUUUGUCAGUUUCACAAGUAAUUAUUUUAAUACCUAUUGUGUGCCAGAUACGUGUUUAAGCACUAGGGAUAAAGCAGCGAACCAGACACACAAAAGUCUUGCCCUCAUGGAGCUUACAUUCUAGUGAAGGAGUUCAGAUAGAAAUGAGUAAACAGAUAAGUAAUGUAAUUUUAGAUAGUAGGAGGUGCAAAAAUAUGUUAAUGUAAAGAGAGUGAGCGGGGGCAGGUAGGACUCCAUUGGACAGGUUUGUUAGGGGGCAGCUUCACUGGAGAAGUGGCAUUUGAAUGGAGACCUGAAUGAAGAGAGGAGCAAGCCAUGGAAAAUCUGGGAUCAUUGUGUGAUGAAAGCAGUUAUCCAAAAAGUUCUCCAGAUGGAAGGAGUGCCAAGUCAGAGUACCAGUGGAUAACUUCUCCAUCGUGAAGGAACCAUCCAAAGCUGCUAGACAGAAAAAGAGAACUCUAAUUUGGGGAAGUGAUCGAAAAGGAAAAGCUACGAUUAGAGUUGGUAACUCUUUCUGAACUUAUACCCCUUAUGUUUUUUGGUGUGCUAAAAUUAAAGCAGCCAAUAUUAACCACAUGCAUAUUAGGAAGCCUAUGAUUAUUUUGAGACUUAUGAGAAUUUAUAGAAUAUAGAUAUAAUAAAUGAAUUUAAAGAGAUGUUAAUAUUAACCAACAUUAUUGUUUGGAUCUCAUAAAAACUUUGUUAUUUUGAAAAUAUUUCCUGGUUGAUAAUUACUUCUGACACUUUGCAAUUGUAAUUUGGGGUGCACUUUGAUGAUAAUUUUAGUAGUGGUGCUUUUGAGGAAUGAUUUUUUUAAAAUGCAGAAUUACCUUUUGCGCUACAAGAAACAAAAUUUCUUCUCAGUUCCAACCUUCCCAUUGUUUCCUGCUUCUUUCUUAGAAAUGCUUACCUAAAUUUUUGAAUCAGGUAAUAUCUUGUUUCUGUGAAUGAUUAAAAAAACUUGAAAUAUGUAUGAUCCUUAUAAAAGACUUCUACAGACAAGUUUAUUUACCUAGAUUGAACAUUUUAGAAAACCAUUUUCUAAAUGUUUACUGUAAUGUAUAUUUAAUUUUCCAAAUGGUAGUUAACCCAGGAUUUUACAACUAAGCCUAUUAUUUUGUUACGAAAUGUAACUGUAAUAGAAAGCUUUUAAAAGCCUUUAACAAUCAGUGGUGUAAGUUUCACAUUCUCCUGAAUAUAUAAAUUUCCUAGAAUUCACUUCUACUGAUAACGUUUGUAUUGUUUCUAAGAGACCUUAACUUUUUAUUUUCUGGAACAUAUUAUGGUUAGUCACAAAUUGUCCUUUUUUGUUGGUGAUAAGAAUGAACAGCAGGAGCAGCAUUUGUGAAACCAAAUCUAAUAUGAAACUGACUCUUUCUUGUGAGUAACUUUGAAUUUUGAAACAGCAGAACAAUAAGGUUGAAUAUAAAGCAAAAUAAAUUUUUUUAUGUUUAUGAUCUGCCAAUUUCCCAGAAAGAGUUUUGUGGUGACUUUAGUUAUAUACCAGAUACAUUAAAAUCACCAAUGGACAACACAUCUUUUAUUCAGGUGCCCUCUGAAAGUUUUAAAAAUUUGUUGACUUAAUAUCACUGCACGUUCCACUUCAAAAUGGUUAAAAUGAUAAAUUUUCUGUUUUGUGUAGUUUACCACAAUUUUUUUUAAAUGUGUUGUUUGAAGAUUUGGGGGUUUUUAUAAAGGUAUUGUAUUAGCAUAAGAAUGAAAAAUUUAAAAGACCACCUCUAAUUCCAUUAUCCUAUCAAGCAAUAUUUACAUUUUUAUUUUCUCUUCCUGCUGUCCAUAAACAUAAUUCCACGUAGCUUCAAUAUAAUUUGCCAUUCUUCUCUUUUCAUACUAAAUUUAAAUUCUAUGAUUCAUAGUUAUACUUUUUAACAUUGUAUUUACAAGGUUUUAAUUGAGUUGGUCAAUUUUUUAAAUUGGUGAAAAACUGGAAAUAACCUAAAAUAAACUAUUGUAAACACCUUCAUAAAUACAGCUUUUUUUUUUCUACUUAAAGAUGUGUUUUUGUUUUUGUUUCUUAUGGUACGGGGCCUCUCACUGUUGUGGCCUACUCCCGUUGCGGAGCACAGGCUCCGGACCCACAGGCUCAGCGGCCAUGGCUCACGGGCCCAGCCGCUCCAUGGCAUGUGGGAUCUUCCCGGACCGGGGCACGAACCCGUGUCCCCUGCAUCGGCAGGCGGACUCUCAACCGCCUCUCAACUCUCAAUCCAGGUUUUUGAUUCUCUAUUAAUCAACUUGCUUGGACAAUAGCGUAUUAAAUAGAAGUUGUUAAGAGUGUUUAUGAAGUCAAAAGCUUAUGAUCGUCUGCCAAUUGUUAUUUCAAGAGAGUGAUAUUUUAAUAAUGAAAUAGUACAUACAAAGAAGUUAAGAUUUGUGGUAUCACACUAAUUAGAUAUUAUUAUUAAAAAUUUAUAUCACAUGUAAAGUAUUCUUAAAAUAGCUAAGUUGACUUUUGCUAUGAUAUUAGAAAUGGAAAUAUAUAUAAAUAAAGCAUGUAUAUUAGAAAUUCUGUAAAAUUAGUACCUGGCGGUACAUAAAAGGGCAUCAUGGAAUGAGAAGAAAACAGUUAAACUUUUUUUUUAUUUAGCAUGAUUCAACAAAGUGGAAAUGUAACUGAAAUAUACAAACUCAUUGAGCUAUUUUAAGAGUAAUUUUAUUUCUUGGGCUUUUUUUUUGUAUUUGCCUCAGUUAUUUGGAGAUAUAGAGGUAAGCCAAAUCAGUAUCUGGCGCUAUACCUAGAUCCAGGUGAGUAUAGGGGUGAAAUAAUGGUGUGAAUGGUGUCACAUUUAUAUUGUAAUUAUGUAUGCCUAAAAAAAGAUGGGAACUUUUAUUAGAAAUUUUUUUUAUCUCCUAACAAGAAAAGUGUAAUUUAAAAAAAUUUUAAUACAAAUGUAUUUGCAUUCGUUUCUGAAAGUAAAGGAAGGGUAUACACAUACAAACCACAUGCAUACAAACAUUUUUUUUGACGGUAAUUAAGUUAAAAAACACAAUAAAAUAGCACAAAAUGAACUGAGCUCCUGUAUAUUUUUAAGAGGCAUGUAAAUCACACAGGAUCGUGUGGUGAUUAUCAAUAAGCUACACUCUAUGAAAUAUUUGUCCUAUAUUACCACAUACACUCCAUUUUACCCUGCAUCCUAAUGCUGCUAAAAUAUAGUAGAAAGCAACAGCAUAGCACAGGGAGAUCAGCUCGGUGCUUUGCGAUGACCUAGAGGGGUGGGAUAGGGAGGGUGGGAGGGAGGCUCAAGAGGGAGGGGAUAUGGGGACAUGUGUAUGCAUAUGGCUGAUUCGCUUUGUUGUGUAACAGAAACUAACACAGAAUUGUGAAGCGAUUAUACUCCAAUAAAGAUCUAUUAAAAUAAAUAAAUAAAAUAACACAAAAUAUAGUAGCUUUGAAGGAUAAAUAUAACCCUUUUAACCUAUGAUGUUUGUUUUCAGUAAGUUCAAAUUAAAUAUUUAAAUGUGAAUUUUAAUAUGUGGCUUGUUCUAAAUAAAAUAUUAACACGUAGGUCUAGUUUUUGCAACCAAAUAUUCCAUAUAAAGAUACUUGCCUCUUUACUACUGAAAUAUAGGAUAAGUCUCCACAUUUCACUCUUUUAUCCCGUGGGUUUCAUUUGUUUUUUUGUGUAUUUUCUAUAUGAAAUCAAAGGAGCAGUGAAGGUUGACAGGCUUAUAGGAGAGUAACAUUGACUCACCUACCACCCAGCAACUUGCAGCCUUAUAACUUUUACUGUCUUUACAUAGAAAAAUUCAUCUUAAAUUGAAAUUUUGGUCUAAUUCUGAAGAUUCUGUUUGGCAGAAGUCAUGGGUGUAUCUGUGCUUGUGUGUCCUUGAGAUUCAGAAAUGCCAAAGGUGUUCUAAGAUUCAGUAAACUUGAGUGUUUCUGCAUAAUACAUAAAAUGUAUCAUACUUUGGGAUUAUUUUAAAAAUUUAUUUUUGCAUUUCUGCACAUCUCAAUACUUUUGUUUUAGUUAAAAUAACUUGUUACUGUAGAGAACUUAUAUUUUUUAAAAAUGCUGGCUUAUGUAAAACCUCUGUACAAAACGAUCCUCUUUUUUUUAAUGACCUUGGCAUCAUUGUCAAGUGCCUGGUUGAUUCCUUUCAAAGUGUACACGUGUGACAGUUUCUCUGUAGGCCUUUGGUGCAUCUUGAUUCCUUCUUUUCAUGCUUUGUCAAACAUAGGCUUGGCUGCAAAGCAACCUGUAAGUAAUGGAAUGAAACACUCUGCUGGUAAAGAAUGUUAUGGUCCUGAACCUCUACCACCUGGUGUGUCUGGUUUCUGGCCGUGGCAUACUGCAGAACGUGGAAAAAGUAUAGACAUUUUGAAGACUUUUCUUACAGAAUCUUGGCUUAAUCUGAUAGGAGAAUAACCACAUUUUGUUUUAUUUUGUAUUCAUUUGAUUUACUGGUAAGGUUUACUGGCUGUUUGUAUUCAUUUGGCUAGUUGGUUCAUUACACCGUGUAUCCAUUCUUCUGCAGUGAGAGUUUGUAGGGGUUGUAUCAUAUCCUGUCAGAUCCAUAUGUCUGACUUGCUAUUUCUGUAUGUCAUGGGGUGUUGAAAGACUCCAGUUAUUUUAAUGUGAUGGUCCACUCAACACUUAAAUAAAUGACUCAUGAUAGUUUCCUUUCAUGUAAUAGUUUUUAAUACCUGUGCUUUUGUUUAAAUGAGUAGGUUGUUCAGCCCCAGAACUACUAGAAGUCAUGAUCAUUCGUUCUGGUUUUUGUCUGACGUUUUACCGCGAGAGUUCUUGGCCAUCAUACUUUCAUGAUAGGUUUUUAGUAUGUAUUCUCUAUUCACACAUAGUUUGAAUUUGUUAUUAUUUGUGUCCUAGAUAACGGUACGUUUGGGCUUCCCUGGUGGCGCAGUGGUUGAGAGUCCACCUGCCGAUGCAGGAGACACGGGUUCGUGCCCCGGUCCGGGAAGUCCCACAUGCCGCAGAGCGGCUGUGCCCGUGAGCCAUGGCCGCUGAGCCUGCGCGUCCGGAGCCUGUUGCUCCGCAACGGGAGAGGCCACAACAGUAAGAGGCCCGCGUACUGGGAAAACAAAAUAUUAUUCUCACAUUUCAGUUAUUUUUGAGAGCAUAUGAUCUAUAUCUGUUUUAUAUAGACAGAGAGAUGCUUGAUAAAAAUCCAUGGAAAUGUGUGCUAGAAUCCAGAAAUCCCUGAAGAAUCUACUCAGCUAACAUAUAGCAAUAUUUUCUUACAGGAAUAUUUUGUUCAAGUUUAUGCAUUAUAAGUACAGAAAAAAGGUAAUAAACUGGACUUUUGAAUGAAAAGAUUAGCAGAAAAACAAAUUUUAGUUAAAUCAUAUCAUAAGGAAAUGGAAUAAUAAUUCCAAAAUAUUUUUAUAAAGGAGGUUUAUUAAAAAUUAACAUAAUGUACAUAUAUGUAUUGUAUCCCUAUUCUGAUUUUUAAACUUUAAGUCCACAAAUAACAGAAGGUUUUGUUCUUUUAGGAUAUUAAAACACUGAGAAAAAAUGAAAUUAUCCUUUUGCAACAAACAGAAAAUAUUAUGCCAAAUCUCAUAUCUAAAGUUUUUAUCUUUAUAAAUGUGUUUUGUUGCAAUAUCAUUUGUGGAAUAAGUAACUUUAUAAAGAUUAGUUUACAUGCCAAAUCUGAUAAGACACCAUAAGUAAGAAUAUAAAACAUUUUGAUAAUAUUCUGUGUAAGAACUAUAGAUAUGAAAAUAUUCUAUGAUAUUAAUAAUCAUAUUCAUUAUUUGGCCUUAUGCUGUUUGGUUUAUUUUUUGGCAUUAUGCUAUUUGGACAACUGGCUUGAAGACUGGGGGGAAAAUGAAAAAUUUUUGUUCUAUUUCUAAUUGUAAUCUUUACAGGAUACUUGUUUUAAAUAGACAAUUUGUUAUGUGUUUGCAAUAAUAUUUAUACCACUUGCAAUCAUUCAAUUGAAGUACUAUUAUUUUAUUACUUUUUAAAAGAAUAUAUUUAGCAAAUAUUCCCAGAGCAUCAAUUUUAAUAUUCUUAUAGAUGAACAUAAAAAAUGGGAAGGAUUGUUUUCCAUGACUAUUUGGUGGUCCAAAUAUUUUUCUUUUGAGUACAUUUUAUAUUUCUUUUUCUUAAGAAGAAUGACAUUUUAUUAAAUAUUGACAAUAAAAAAUAUUUUAUUUUUAAAUAAAAUCUUUCUUUUUCAAUCAUAUGCUUUCUUUCAAACAAUUAGUUUGCACCACUGAAAGGACAUCUUCACAUGUGUUUCUGGGAAAUGUUGCAUUUAUCUCUUGGGUUACAUUACUCUGUAUGAAAAAGUUAAGGAUUUGGAAAUUUAUUUUACUUCUUUAUUAUCCUUUACUAGAAAAGAACUUUUUGAUUCAAAGAUGAAAUUUUUCUGGAAAUCCCAUGGGAGUAUUAAGUUACCUUGGACUAAACUGAAUCAUCAGCGAUCAUCUUAGCUGUCAAUGACCUAUAGAUGACAUAUUUAUCUAAUUAAAAGAUGUCUUAUUUUGAAAGAAACGGUGCAUUGUGCAUAAUUAGAAAAUUGGAUUCAUUGGCUUAUUAAUCUAAUGAAGCUAGCCUAUGUCAUUUAUAUUACUAUGUGGAGAAGUUGUUUUAUUUGCAAUUAACAAUGCUGUAUAUGAAAUGUUAAUUCUUGAUAAAGAACAUAAAAAUUAAGCACAUCAUACUUUUUCAGAGGAAAUUUCAGUUCUUUGCUAUAUACCCCUGUCACUUAUUUCCGUUACUAGAGUAUGAAACACUUGUAUACUGUUUUUCACUAACCAGUCCCUUAGACUUGCACACCAGCCAUCCAUUCAUCCUAUUCUAUCCCUGUUACAGAGAUAAACAUGCAUCCCCUCCUCAGCAGUGAUGUUGGUUCAAGCUGUAGGCAUACGAUAUGAUCCAAGUAUGUCUGUGUCCUUUCCUAGGAAUUUUCAAAUUGUUUUGAGGAUGAAGUUGUUCCUUUUCCUCUUUGAUCACAGAACUCUAAGAAUAUAAACCUAGGAAAUAGCCAGCCAUGAAUCCAGCUGACUUGAGAUCAUAAAACCAUCAGCGAAAAACAGAGAUAAGAGAAUAAAAAGUCACUGAUUUCAUUAAAAACUUCGGGCUAGCCACUUCUGAAAUCAUGUUUUGUUUUUCUUUUUUGUUUAAUUAAGAAAUAUAAUUGCCUUCUGUUGUUUUGGCUUCUUAGAAGUGAAUUUCCAUUAGUUGCAAUUGAAAGAGGCCCAACUAUACAAGAUAUAUUUGAUUUUUAUACAAAUUCAAAAAAAUGAUGCAGAAUAAAGUAAGUGAAGAUAAAAACAAAUAGAGAAUAGCAUUGUAUUGUAAGUUAAUCUUAAAUAACCUUAUUGUAUAGAAAGUUUAUUAUUAUUUUUACUUCCAUUAUGUGGAAGAUUCUUUGGUAUCUGUGAAAAUUUGUGGCACAUGAAACUAUGUAUUAGAGAGGAUUGAAACUCAAUUUCAUUUGCUUCAAGCCUAUAUGUAUUGUAUAUAAUUAGGUUAGGGUUUAUAUAUAUAUACAUAUAUAUAUAUAUGUGUAUAUAUAUAUAUAUAUAUAUGCCAAAGAAAAUACAUAGAUGGUUUUAAACCACAGGCAUUCACUUAAUAUUAUAUUAAUUAGGGUUACCUUUCGCACAAAAUGGUUAUUUAGCAUUUUCAGUCUUAACCUACUUAUUGUGAAUGGUAGACUCAUAGCUGGAACAUGUUUAUUUGAUAGUGCUUAUAAAACCUGAAAUGAAGAAAAAUUGAAUAUGUUAUCAAUCUGCACAGCAAAACAUCAACAGCAAUUUGGACUCAUUUAAUGUAGGGACAAACCACUUUAUAUGAAUCAAAGAACACACACCAUUAAAAAAUAAUAUCAUUGAACUAUGACUAGAAUAAAUGGAAAGUAACAUUGUAUCAUAUUUUUAAAAGUAUUUUUAACUAAGAUAAUUUUAAUUAGAAAUAAUUAAAACAAAGUUGAGCCUUAAAUGUGCAAUUUCAGAUAUUUGCAGAAUGAAUAUACGUGGAAAACAUCAUUCCUAGAAUAAACAAAUGUGUGUACAGUUAAUGAGAUGGCGUUUCUGAGAUGAAUAUGUUCCGAUGUAAUCAUUAUAGAAAUAACCAAAAAUGAUUGUAAAAUACCAUAAUUACCCCUACAAAUAAAUCAUAGAAAACUUCAGGCUUCAAGUUUGUUCAGGCUCAAAAUUCACAAAGUGUGUGACCUCUGUCAAUUUUCUUAACUAGUCUAAACCUCAGUUUUCUGUUGGAAUGAUAAUAGUAUCUCCUUUACAGGGAGAUACAAGAAUACCAUUUGGCAAUGUGUGAAAACAGGCACAAUUUAUAUUGCAUGACAAAUUAUUUAUUAAAUCUCAGCUCCUAUUACCAGUUUUU